CGCCUGUCUCUCUUCCUCCCGGUCCUCACUCCGUCAAUCCCCUCUUCCUUCUCUCGCCUCCCAUGGCGCCGCCGCUCCUGCCUCCUCACCUCCCGUGGCCCGCCCUCCCGGUCGUGUCUCUUCUCUCCAUCGCCAGUCGCGGAAGCUGCUGCGCUCCUCUUCCUCCCUAGCCGCAUCGCGCGAGAGACCCGAGGUCACCCGCCUCCGAUCCGACGGGCGAGGCGGCCAGCGGCUGCCUCCCGGUCAAAUCCGGCUGCCCACCGACCGACUCGAGCUGGCGGUGUUGUUCCCGGCGGAGCACGCCGUCGCGCCGUUGAUGUGGGGAUGCCAUAGGGGAGCACGCCGUCGCCAUCGGCUGCGUCCUGGGCGACUCCGACGCGCCCUGCCACGAGCUUCGUCUCCUCUGUCGCUGCCGUGAGCUUCUCCGCCGCUACCUCAUCUCCUCCAGCACCCUCUCUUGCUCGUGUAUCUGGACGAGAGGCAACCUACUGAGAGGAACAUGUCGACCUUGGUGACAUCUAGGAUGAGGCACGUCCAUGAAAUCGAUGGUGAGGCAGCCGGCCGUCAGGGGUGCGUUAGCUUGGGUGAUCCCCUAGCGAAGCUGCAGCGACCACACAAGGUGCAUGUAGCCGGCAUCAUGACACUCUUGGGGCACACUGGAGCCUGGUGAUUAUGUGCGUUCCUGCAAAAAAGAGUAAUUCAGGACCAAUCUUACUUCAUCUGGACUCCUUAGGGAUGCAUCCUACUAGAGGAAUUGAUGACGGCGGUGGUCAUUUUCCAGAUUCAGCAGUGCAUACUUGGAACAGGUAAUAAAAAGGGAAUCACUUAAUUUUAUUUGUAUUUGCACCAAUAAUCAUGCUUAGCAUAUUAGAACAAUUUACUUUGAGAACAAAUGGCUGGAAGAACGAUGCGAUUUGAUACCCUGUUAUGUUGGUGUCGAGAGAAAAUUUGGUGUUUCGUUUUUCUUAUAUGUACAAUUAUCUGCCGUGAAUCUUGUGCUUUCAAUCAAUGUGUUUAUUUUGGCUAAAUUCCGAGCCUUUUCUGGAUCUGAGCAAACGAUCCUGCAACGACAGCAAGAGGCAGCCCACAUGAAUCUAUUGAGGUGCACCUUUAUCUUGACCAUGCCUCUGGUUUUUAGUUAGACACCAUGUUUGCAGAUUCAAGUUCCAAAAUCAGGGUACUGUUUUUUAUUUCUUGCUUAAUUUUGUUUGGUAGUUCCCUUUGUGUUCGGUAGUGGGACAUGUGUUGGUCUACACAGGUAUUUCUUUUGUCUGUCAAAUGCUACCAAACAAACCAGUGCCAUGGUGGCUAGGAUGGGUCCUCUUAGAUGUCCAUUCGGAUUACAAAUUGUGGAGGGACCGGUCAACAUUUUUAGUAUUUUACUACAUGGCUGCUAAGUAUACAUAGAUUUAGGAAAACUACCUGCGGUAAUUCCUGCUCCGGCAUGCGUUUCUCUUAAUUCUUGAAUUAUGAAUUCAGACCAAGAUUUAUGAAUUCUAAUUAUUAGUUUGAUUUACAUUUUUGUUUUCAUUAUUGUGCCUUCUAUCCAAGGUGAUCAUAUGAAAUCUUUAAAUAACUUAUUAUCCAGUGGUUCCUCUGCCUGCUCAAUGGAAACAAUAUCGUGAGACAUAAUAGGGAGUAUGUUAGACAAAUACGCAUCUUUGUAGUGAAAUGCCAUGCUCUCAAGUAUCUUGCAGUGCCAACAUAUAGUUAAGAUGUAUUAGUAUCUUUGAAUGUUCCAACAAGUAGCCCGACUACACAUACUUGUAGUAAUUUUAAGCUUCAAUUUAUUAUUUUUGUGGUUUCAAGCUAGGAUUAGCACUUCCUGAUGUUAUUUUUGGCUUUGGAUUGUAAGUAAACUCUUUUUAGAUGAGCAUCCUUUUCCACCGACAAAUAAUAGCCAAUCAAUAUUUCCUUGAUAUAUUUUGCAUUACCGAUAUACUUUACAUGUAGAGAUUAUCAACAUUUGUAUGAGACCAAUAAUAGUUGUCGAAAUUUUGUAGUUGUGUGCUAUUGCCUGCAAGAUACUGGAUUCUUAUAGAGUCAAUUAACUGGGAGAAUGAUAACUACAAAAGGCGUUGCUAAUCUUGACACGACGAAACACAUUCUCUGUUAUGUCCAUGAUGUUUCACUCCUACCUUACUCCGCUGAAUUACUCUACCUAUAAAAGGGGGACAGAGUGAACCUGCUGACAUAUCUUAAUUGUUAUGCUGUGAUUGAAUUGUCGUUCCUCGGUACCGUGAGAACAUGGAGAUGUGCAGGCUCAUGGAGCAGGUUGUGUUCUCGGAUCCAUACAUGGCCUCUAAAUACACUUGCUGGGAUUCGCCUCUUCUUGACGCUGAAGCGGUUCGAGAGGAUGAUGGUUUUGGAACGUCCGAGUUGUUGCCGUUUAUGUGAUGGAUCUGUUGUUGCAUUCGUUGAUCUGUGCUCGUUGGUCUGCCGGUCAUUUGAUUUGUGCCAGCUUGCUACUCCUCGUCCACCACCUUGCAGGUCGACCUCUUUUCUUUUCCCCUUCUCUGCUUUUAGGCUAGGCUUGAAUUUUUGCAGCCAUGUAUUUUCCUUAGCUUGCCUGUGUAGAGCUGCUAUUAGAUUGAGUUUAUUUUUGUCUCGUUUCUGUUGGUGUGCAUGCUGGUGAAUGGGUGUGUUUGUUUUUCCUUAGCUUGCCUGUGUAGACCUUAUGUUUAUUGAUUUGCUCUUUGUGUGUUUGCCAAUGGUGGAAGUGGCGGAGAAGUGGAACCAGAAGUGGAGGUCAACAUAUUACAGGUGAUGCCUGCGUGUAAUAUGUUGACCUCCACUUCUGGUUCCACUUCUCCGCCGCUGCCCCACCGUCCAGGUCCAGCCCCACUCCCCCGUCACUCCUCCUACGUCCUCUGCAGGAGAAGAAUGUGUUAUGUUGGGCUCGGACUAUGUUGACAGCCAUCUUGGCCAGCAAGAGGAUGCUCACCUGCUUCGUCUUCCUCACCAGUCGGCUCUUAUUAACCAAUGAUGAUGUAUCUUCAAGGGCAGACUGUGAACAAGUACUACAAAGAGGAUAUCUCUAAAUCAAGUCGCACGCCCACUAGAGAAAACCACAGGUUGGUUUGCACAAGGUGCUGUAGUUUUCAAGAUAUAUCAUGUGCUCAAAUGUUUGAACCAAAGGCUUAUGUUGUGUACCGAAAGAAUCCUGAGAAAUUUUAGAUGGCUCAAGCUCAAGGCAUCACUCAAAACAGAGUAAGAGAAUAAGCUGGGAAUGGUGCAGUGGUAUGAAAUUAAAAAGAAACUGAAUAUAAAGUUGAAGAGGUGGAGCCAAGCAUGUUGGCCUGCAGUCAUGCUCUAGUUUAUUUACAGAAUAUGAUCCUAAUAAUUAUUCUAACCUCGAGGAGUCAAAGACAGAUGGCCUGUCAUGUUCACCCAUCAAGACAUCAAAAAGGAAGAGGGUGAUUGCUGAACCUGAAGGAGCACCAGCAAAGUCCUUGAAAAACGUGGUUGUGCCGGAGAAAUCAGACAGCACCCUAGUUAUAUUGGUUAUACAACCAGUAACACAAAACGUAGGACCGACUCCAGUAGACUGUACCCAUACUUCAUUGGCCACACCACUAGCCGCACCACACAGGACCUGCACUCCAGCAAAAGGUAUGCUGAUUUCAGUUGCCAUAGCACCAGCCGUACCACAGAAAAAUCCCACUCCAGCAAAAAGUA
Triticum aestivum (bread wheat) is the source of this 3678-nucleotide long non-coding RNA. RefSeq lists it as uncharacterized. The transcript is spliced from 9 exons. NCBI's taxonomy places the organism in Eukaryota, Viridiplantae, Streptophyta, Magnoliopsida, Poales, Poaceae. The record is from RefSeq and is a predicted model, not a curated record.